Molecule: long non-coding RNA, 3467 nt
Organism: Hevea brasiliensis (rubber tree)
Lineage: Eukaryota; Viridiplantae; Streptophyta; Magnoliopsida; Malpighiales; Euphorbiaceae
Exons: 3
Source: RefSeq, a predicted model, not a curated record
UUUGGUAGCGUCCGUGUCCCCUUAUCUGUCGUCUCUCUCUGUCUCUCUCUGUCUCCCGUUUCCUGCUCUCUUCCCUUGUCAUUGACAGACACACAGCUCCUUAUCGUUUAUUGUAUUGAUCGACAGAUACAUCAGAAAGUUAGCCCAUCAAUGAUGGUUUCUUUACCUCACUCACGAUGGUUUAGCUAGGUUUUCUCUGCUACAUUAGAAGCCCCAUCUCACUCAGCACCUGAUCAAUGGUAUUGGUAUCUCAUCAUAUAUUGUUUUGGUUCCUCAUUUCUCAAGAAAUAAAAGUAAUACCGGGUGGAGGCUGUGGGGAUGAAACUUAUAUACCAUCAAACCAUGAAAGCUUUUCUAACCUUGUUGAACGUUGAUGCUUCCCAUCAAUCAUUGAUCUCAAUGUGGAUGAUUUGUGAGUAAUAUGGCAGAUUAUUCUUCUUAUUUGAAGAAUUUCUAGCAGUUUCAUAUUUGCAGCCUUCAAAUGCAAUAAAUUAGAAACGCCAAUCGGACUUUCUUGGUUUUAUUUUUAGCGUUGUACAUUGCCUGUUUCAAAUGCAGGGGCAAUGAUUAUUGCAUUUGGUUCUUUUUUAUCACUUGGUUUAUUUAUUGAAUAUUUCGUUAUGUUUUUCAUUCUCUAUUUGCUUUAAGAAGCUUUAUUUAAACUACUACUUCAAACGUACCUGCAUUCUAUAGCAGUAGUUGAUGAAUGCAGCUACUGGCACACUUCCAUUACUUAUUUGGAGAAACAAUUUUUCGUUUAUGAUAGCGCAUGUUCACAAUGUCAUGUACAGCAAAAACAGUUCCUUUCAAUUAUGUAGUAAAAUAGCUUAAAUUAAUAUCUUUUCUCAUCAUACUUAUCGUUAUCUGAUUAUAGUUAUGUCGUUAAACCCUUUCAAAAUUUUUAAAGAUUUUUGCAAAAUGAAGCGACCAAGUGCAAAAAAAUAUUAAUACGCAAGUUGAAGUUCAUUUAUGCUUACAAUGAUUGCUUGGAUUUGGGCUUCUUUAGUUACAUUUGUAUUCAGAUGGGUGUUAAAGCAUAUGAUUUUGCUUGCUGGCUAUAUGAUUAGCUAGAGGAGUCCAAUGGCUGUGAUUUAGUUCAGGGAGACAAUUUAAGGCUGAUGAACUCAACUUUUAUUUAUCUUCCUUGCUGUAUUUCAAGUGGCAUAUUAUAGCAAGAACAGAUGGGAUGAGCCAUGUGUUGGCAAGGCACAGGGGUUUCCUUUGAAAGUUAAAUUCUCUAAGGUGAUAUUGUUUUGUUUGUUUUAAUUCAGUUCCUACUUUAUCUUUAUGUUGUCAAUGUAAGAUCAGAAAAAUAUUUUGGUCACUUUGGCUGAUACAAAAGGUUUCAUUGUGCUGUGACUAACUAGUUUUACUUGAUCGGGUUUGAACCCCGUCAUCCAACGAUGAAUUGAGGCCUUCAACCAAUGAGAAAUGGAUCAAUUUGAUGUAAGUUCAUCUGGUGCUUUAGAAUAUUGAGUGGGAAAAAGUAUCUUGUGCAAAAUUUUGAAGGUCUUUGAUGAGGUAGCACACUUUUUUUCAAGGAAAUAUAUAUCCAACUACUAAUCUGUAUUUCAAGGUGGUGUGGAAGAUUCAUAGCCACUUUUUUGAAGUAGUGAUUGGCCCAGAAAAUUUCAUGACAUAUAUGGUCAAGGAAAUGUUGUAUAAUUUGAAAAUAAAACCACAAUGGAUAAAAUUCAGUUUGAAUUUUUUCAGUUUUCAACAGUUAAGAUAUGAUGGAAUAACCGCUAUGUUUGUGUCUCUUGAAUAGACACUAUCAACUGCUUAUAUAUAAGCAGAAAAAACCUUCCUUCAGCAAUUGAACUUCUCUAUAAUCACUCUCAACUUUGUUUGCUGCACAAACAUACUUGAGAUUUUGCAUUCAUGUGGAGCACUGUGAGUGUUCACAAUCUGGUUUCUUAAGUGCAAAAAGAAAUCAAGCAAUGGACUUCAUUGUAUCCUAUGGGAAAAUAUAGCCUUGAGGACUGUGGCAGUGUUACACUUCUUGGGUCCUAUCACAUUUAUUUUGUAUUAUUGAUUUAACAAGAAAUGCUAUUGAAAGUCACUGAAUGUUGGCCAAAAUGUAGCUUGAUAUUGUCAUGUGCUGCAAUAUUUGAUCCAUGGUACAAGAUCAAGUUUAUCGAGUACAUUGAGUACUGUUAUACGAAACUUUACAAUAGUGAUGCUCUGCAGUUAUUGGCACCAUUGCUGACAGUCUUUGUAGGUUUUUCAAUGAGUAUGUCAGAAACUCUUGCUUCUUUUCUGUUAAUAGUGCAGGACCUGUUGUUUCCGCUAAUGUUGCUUGUGAUGGAUAUUAUAGUGUUUCGUUUGAAGAAACAUUUCAGAGUGCUAGUUUUCGGACUAAAAUGCAGAGGCUGGCCAUGAUCUUAAUAGUGACAUAGAUGUCUGACAAUAUUGGAGGUUAAGCUCAAUCAAAUAUCCGGAGUUUUAAAAAAUGGCUUGUGAUAUUUUGACUAUUCCAAUGGCUACGAUGGCUUCUAAUAGUGUGUUUACCAUAGGUUGUUGUCCAGUGAUAAAUCCUUGUUGAAAUUCACCAAAACAGAAGAGAUUACAAGCCUUGAUAUGCCUUCAAGAAUGGCUGAAGCCAUAUGAUAUGGCAGAUAAUUCGACUGUGUUUGGAGCUUUAAGUUUUUGCCAUUCUAUGCAUAAGAUCUUAUUGAUUUACAACUUCUCUAGGGCAGAGUCUGGCUGAUGACGAUGACUCCGGUUCAAACGAUGGAGGUGAGGAAGAUGAUGCUGAUUAGGCACUCAAAAUUAUGUCAAUUUCCUAUGGAAUGAGAUUGAUGGAAAAGGGACAUCAUUCUUGGUAGAAAAUAUCAAAUAGAUUUAUCCUCUUGGACGGCUUUUGCUAGUCUUACUCCGGAUUGAAUGGCCAUUUACAACUUGGUUAGAGCCUGUUAUUGCCACUAGGCACCAAUACAAGUUGAAUGAUAUUCGAGUGAUCCUCAGAGCAGACACUACGGAUUCAGGCACUAUAUCAACCUGCAGAACUCACUCAUGGCAUCUUGGAUUGCAGUUGAAGUAAUAAUUAUGCCAUUCUGUUAUGGGCAACCCAAGCUACAAUGUUUGAGAGUACAAGUAAGAAUAACAGCAGGUAUAAUUAAGCUGGAGAGGCUAGUGAAGCUUUAGUGGCUUCAAGAUCAGCAGCUUUCUUGAGAAAACUUGAUCAUCGUCUUCAAGAGCCAUCUGGAUGGGUCCUGAGCCCAAACCAUCAGCAACUCAUCAAGAUCAAUCGUAUCACAAUCAGACUUUUCAAAGAUGGAGUCAUACAACUAGGAGAGCAGCUCUGGAGGGGUGACGAUGUCGAUUCCAAAAAUGGGAUUCGGUCAAACGUAGGGACUCAAAGGCCUUAGCAAGACCAUCGUUGUUGAACUUAAUAUAUUUCAUAUGUGAUUGUCAUGAGCAUUACUUUUAUGGUUUUUAAUAGAAAAUGUUUUUUUAUUUUGUAA